RNAcentral lists this ribosomal RNA (1273 nucleotides) under Mycolicibacterium neoaurum. Its description in RNAcentral is "bacterial SSU rRNA". It matches the Rfam family "Bacterial small subunit ribosomal RNA", at positions 96 to 1381 of the family's 1533-position model. RNAcentral also lists the same sequence under 1 other name. The record is from RNAcentral. Lineage: Bacteria; Bacillati; Actinomycetota; Actinomycetes; Mycobacteriales; Mycobacteriaceae.
UGGCGAACGGGUGAGUAACACGUGGGUGAUCUGCCCUGCACUUUGGGAUAAGCCUGGGAAACUGGGUCUAAUACCGAAUAUGAUCAUCGGCUUCAUGGUCGGUGGUGGAAAGCUUUUGCGGUGUGGGAUGGGCCCGCGGCCUAUCAGCUUGUUGGUGGGGUAAUGGCCUACCAAGGCGACGACGGGUAGCCGGCCUGAGAGGGUGACCGGCCACACUGGGACUGAGAUACGGCCCAGACUCCUACGGGAGGCAGCAGUGGGGAAUAUUGCACAAUGGGCGCAAGCCUGAUGCAGCGACGCCGCGUGAGGGAUGACGGCCUUCGGGUUGUAAACCUCUUUCAGCACAGACGAAGCGCAAGUGACGGUAUGUGCAGAAGAAGGACCGGCCAACUACGUGCCAGCAGCCGCGGUAAUACGUAGGGUCCGAGCGUUGUCCGGAAUUACUGGGCGUAAAGAGCUCGUAGGUGGUUUGUCGCGUUGUUCGUGAAAACUCACAGCUUAACUGUGGGCGUGCGGGCGAUACGGGCAGACUAGAGUACUGCAGGGGAGACUGGAAUUCCUGGUGUAGCGGUGGAAUGCGCAGAUAUCAGGAGGAACACCGGUGGCGAAGGCGGGUCUCUGGGCAGUAACUGACGCUGAGGAGCGAAAGCGUGGGGAGCGAACAGGAUUAGAUACCCUGGUAGUCCACGCCGUAAACGGUGGGUACUAGGUGUGGGUUUCCUUCCUUGGGAUCCGUGCCGUAGCUAACGCAUUAAGUACCCCGCCUGGGGAGUACGGCCGCAAGGCUAAAACUCAAAGGAAUUGACGGGGGCCCGCACAAGCGGCGGAGCAUGUGGAUUAAUUCGAUGCAACGCGAAGAACCUUACCUGGGUUUGACAUGCACAGGACGCUGGUAGAGAUAUCAGUUCCCUUGUGGCCUGUGUGCAGGUGGUGCAUGGCUGUCGUCAGCUCGUGUCGUGAGAUGUUGGGUUAAGUCCCGCAACGAGCGCAACCCUUGUCCUAUGUUGCCAGCGGGUUAUGCCGGGGACUCGUAGGAGACUGCCGGGGUCAACUCGGAGGAAGGUGGGGAUGACGUCAAGUCAUCAUGCCCCUUAUGUCCAGGGCUUCACACAUGCUACAAUGGCCGGUACAAAGGGCUGCGAUGCCGUGAGGUGGAGCGAAUCCUUUCAAAGCCGGUCUCAGUUCGGAUCGGGGUCUGCAACUCGACCCCGUGAAGUCGGAGUCGCUAGUAAUCGCAGAUCAGCAACGCUGCGGUGAAUACGUUCCCGGGCCU